AUUAGUCAUUUAAUAUAUAUUACUCCCAGCCAUACUCACGUCUGUACUCCCUAUCAAACUCAUGUAUAUAUUUUAGUAUACUCCCAACUUAACACUUUUAUCAACUAAAGAAAAGGAAAAAAAAAAAAAAAGUAGUACAUCUCCCAAAUCAUCACAUGUAUAUAUCCUCUGCCAUUUAGCCACGCCUAUAUCUUCCUCUCGUCUCUAUCUCUAUCUCUAUCUCUAUCUCCAUCUCCCCCAUUCUCAAACUUCUCUCUGAAAUUCUCCUAACAAUUCACAAUGCAGGAACAAUCCCAAAUUAUCUCCCAAAUUAUUUCACAGAGGCAUAAUUCCUAUCCGUCAUAGCUCCCUCCCUCUUUCUCACAAAAACAGAAGUAACCAAAGGACUCUCAUCUCUCGUUCCAAAAAUCGACGCCGCAACAGCCUUCGUCGCUGCUGCAGUCACGGCCUCUCCGUCACCGCCACUGUCCGCCACCGAUCCCGGCGGUCAGCUCCUCCGUCGCGGCACCGCUACUCCCAACAACACAUGAUUUAAUUGAAAUUGAAAAGAAACAGGAGACGGCUUCUAAAGCCUUAAAGAUCGAAGCUUUAGGAGGAAAAAGAUUAUCAUUCAACAAGUUUCAAGGAAUUAAAUUCCAAAACUUUUCCGGGCUGUGAUCUACUGUGAAAUAUAUGUGACCAUGAUGUGGAGGAUUUCAGCGAUUAAGGAUAUACCUUUGAAGAGAAGAAAAUUUGCACAAGCAGAAGAUUUUCGAAUUCAAUGGGAGGGGAAGAAAUUACCUUCACUGAAAGGGAAGAAAACUGCAGGGACGACGGACUGCUGAGAUUGUGGGAGGAGAUGUAUAAUAUAGAGAUUUGAUUGGUUUGUUGAGAGAUUUUUGGUAGUGGGAGCAAGGUGGAGACGUGGAUUUAGGAGAGGGAAUGUAUUUUGACUAAGAAUUUGACUGUAGUAGAAGAAUAAUUAAUUUAUAUUUUGGCUUCUCAAAAUCGGUCAACCAAAAAGGAAUAAAAGCUAGAAACAUGGGAGGUAAAAAGAUAAGCCCAAAUAUUUGGUUUAGAGUAUUUAUUGGUAUUUUAUUUUUAGUAUUUUGGUGAUUAAAUAAGAACACCUAAU
Salvia hispanica is the source of this 1114-nucleotide long non-coding RNA. RefSeq lists it as uncharacterized. The record is from RefSeq and is a predicted model, not a curated record. NCBI's taxonomy places the organism in Eukaryota, Viridiplantae, Streptophyta, Magnoliopsida, Lamiales, Lamiaceae.